This 273-nucleotide long non-coding RNA is filed under the name Cucumis sativus (cucumber). RNAcentral's name for it is "long non-coding RNA (CSAT_LNC002935)". The record is from RNAcentral. Lineage: Eukaryota; Viridiplantae; Streptophyta; Magnoliopsida; Cucurbitales; Cucurbitaceae.
GGUGCACAACGGUUGCGCCAAAAACGGUGUAAAAAUGGCCAAGGCUUUACCAUACCGAAAAUCGGCCGAUUUUUAACCAUAUGAGAAACGUCCCGAAAAUUCACAAAUAACUACUAGGAGGCCUCACUCUGAGUAAUAUUAAAGUUUUCUCCCGCAAGAACCGCUGGGAGAUGCCGAGACUCAGUUUUUAUUUUCGUCCCAAUGCUUUUCUUCCCAUGGACUAGUUUUGUUUCUUUGAUCUUGUGCAACCUAUUUAGACCGAUGAUAGUCAGC